CAAUAGCGUAUGUUUAAGUUGUUGCAGUUAAAAAGCUCGUAGUUGGAUUUCGGAUGGGAUUUGCCGGUCCGUCGUUACGAUGUGCACUGGCCAGUCCUAUCUUGUUGUCGGGGACUAGCUCCUUGGAUUCACUUCCUGGGACUAGGAGCUGACGAGGUUACUUUGAGUAAAUUAGAGUGUUCAAAGCAAGCCUACGCUCUGAAUACAUUAGCAUGGAAUAACGCGAUAGGACUCUGGCUUAUCUUGUUGGUCUGUGAGACCAGAGUAAUGAUUAAGAGGGACAGUCGGGGACAUUCGUAUUUCAUUGUCAGAGGUGAAAUUCUUGGAUUUAUGAAAGACGAACUUCUGCGAAAGCAUUUGUCAAGGAUGUUUUCAUUAA
Molecule: ribosomal RNA, 379 nt
Filed under: uncultured eukaryote
Lineage: Eukaryota
Description: partial 18S ribosomal RNA
Rfam family: Eukaryotic small subunit ribosomal RNA
Source: RNAcentral